RNAcentral lists this ribosomal RNA (427 nucleotides) under uncultured bacterium. RNAcentral describes it as "partial 16S ribosomal RNA". It matches the Rfam family "Bacterial small subunit ribosomal RNA", at positions 354 to 796 of the family's 1533-position model. The record is from RNAcentral.
GUGGGGAAUAUUGCGCAAUGGGGGAAACCCUGACGCAGCAAUACCGCGUGAGUGAAGAAGGUUUUCGGAUCGUAAAACUCUUUUAUUGGGGAAGAAGAAGUGACGGUACCCAAUGAAGAAGUCCCGGCUAACUACGUGCCAGCAGCCGCGGUAAUACGUAGGGGACAAGCGUUGUCCGGAAUCACUGGGCGUAAAGGGCGCGUAGGCGGUUUUAUAAGUCAGAUGUGAAAGGUACCGGCUCAACCGGUGACGUGCAUUUGAAACGGUAAGACUUGAGUACUGGAGAGGAAAGUGGAAUUCCUAGUGUAGCGGUGAAAUGCGUAGAUAUUAGGAGGAACACCGGUGGCGAAGGCGGCUUGCUGGACAGAUACUGACGCUGAGGUGCGAAAGCGUGGGGAGCGAACAGGAUUAGAUACCCUUGUAGUCC